AUACGUAGGGGGCAAGCGUUGUCCGGAAUUACUGGGCGUAAAGCGCACGCAGGCGGAAUUGUAAGUCCGUUGUAAAAUUCAGAGGCUCAACCUCUGUCUGUCGGCGGAUACUGCAAAUCUAGAGUAUGUGAGAGGGAAGUGGAAUUCCUGGUGUAGUGGUGAAAUGCGUAGAUAUCAGGAGGAACUCCGGUGGCGAAGGCGACGUCAUGGCAAAAGCCUGACGCUCAUGUGCGAAAGCUAGGUUAGCGAACGGGAUUAGAUACCCCGGUAGUCCUAGCCGUAAAUGAUGGAUACUAGGUGUGGGUGUCGCAGGGCAUCCGUGCCGCAGUUAACGCGUUAAGUAUCCCGCCUGGGGACUACGGUCGCAAGACUGAAACUCAAAUGAAUUGACGGGG
Molecule: ribosomal RNA, 395 nt
Filed under: uncultured bacterium
Lineage: Bacteria
Description: partial 16S ribosomal RNA
Rfam family: Bacterial small subunit ribosomal RNA
Source: RNAcentral